GCAAAUUCUUGGUUUUGGUGGGAGCCUUUUAUAUUAGCUUUUAAUUCCAUUGCGCAUGUAGCUAUCUGUUCUCUUCAAAUUCAUCUCUUUGGCGAUGGAUAAUAUAAUGUUCCUGCCGCAAAAGUUGACAUUAUUAUUUUGGGGAUGGGGCCAUUACUUAUUGCUUGAGGAAACUUUUGGACUCCUUUUGUUUUAUUUUAUUCUACUCUGUCUCUUUCUCCCUCUAUAUAUAAACACACACACAGUUAUGUUUAUCUUUCUGGCUUGAGAUGUUCAUCUUCUUUUUGCAGUUAUUUUGCUUCAGCUUUUAUUUUGUUUUCUAUUAUACUGAUUUUGUUACAUUAUAAUUUUUUUUUCCUUUUGUUGCUUUGCUUUUGUUAUCAAAACCCAGUCCAUAGAAAUUCAGAAGAGGAU
This 414-nucleotide unclassified non-coding RNA is filed under the name Hevea brasiliensis (rubber tree). Lineage: Eukaryota; Viridiplantae; Streptophyta; Magnoliopsida; Malpighiales; Euphorbiaceae. The record is from RNAcentral.